GAGGGUACAGCUCAAUGGGAGAGUGCAUUCUUAGCAUGCAUGAGAUCCUGGGUUCAAUCCCCAGUAUCUCCA
Molecule: transfer RNA, 72 nt
Filed under: Camelus bactrianus (Bactrian camel)
Lineage: Eukaryota; Metazoa; Chordata; Mammalia; Artiodactyla; Camelidae
Also listed under: 2 other names
Rfam family: tRNA
About the family: Transfer RNA (tRNA) molecules are approximately 80 nucleotides in length. Their secondary structure includes four short double-helical elements and three loops (D, anti-codon, and T loops).
Source: Rfam by way of RNAcentral